This is a long non-coding RNA of Corticium candelabrum, 258 nucleotides long. RefSeq lists it as uncharacterized. The transcript is spliced from 3 exons. The record is from RefSeq and is a predicted model, not a curated record. Lineage: Eukaryota; Metazoa; Porifera; Homoscleromorpha; Homosclerophorida; Plakinidae.
CGACUUCUGUUCUUUGUGCAACGCCUUGUUCCUGAAGACGAAGAGGUAGUCCAAUAUAAGACACAAGACUGCACAGGCUUACGCUACAAAGGUGGAGAGGACGAGCAGUGUUUUCGUAGAAGGAAAUCUUUUGUUUUAGUAACGUCCAUAGAAGAACAAUUACGGAGUCUGCUUGAGAAAAAGGACAUUUGGAAAGACAUUGUGAAAAAUUUGAGCAGCAAUAGGUGUGACAUUCGAAAUGGCAACUGCUACAAGGAG